GGUAGGAUGGCCGAAGUUAGGUGGCGGGUUGUAACCCCGUAGAUAGAGGUUUGAAUCCUCUUCCUAUCA
RNAcentral lists this transfer RNA (69 nucleotides) under Triplophysa chondrostoma. RNAcentral's name for it is "tRNA-Tyr". It matches the Rfam family "tRNA". Rfam says of the family: Transfer RNA (tRNA) molecules are approximately 80 nucleotides in length. Their secondary structure includes four short double-helical elements and three loops (D, anti-codon, and T loops). The record is from RNAcentral. RNAcentral also lists the same sequence under 1 other name. Lineage: Eukaryota; Metazoa; Chordata; Actinopteri; Cypriniformes; Nemacheilidae.